This is a non-coding RNA of Spirodela intermedia, 145 nucleotides long. Lineage: Eukaryota; Viridiplantae; Streptophyta; Magnoliopsida; Alismatales; Araceae. The record is from the annotation of a GenBank genome assembly.
ACCCCUUAGUAGGAGAGUUGCCACCGGAUCUCAUAAGAACUCCGAAGUUAAGCGUGCUUGGGUGAGAGUAGUCCCCGGAUGGGUGACCUCCCUAGGAAGUCCCCGGGUACAUGUGCAUGUGUUGUGAGACGCUUGUUGUUAUGAA